Tephrocybe sp. NHM501043 is the source of this 92-nucleotide non-coding RNA. Lineage: Eukaryota; Fungi; Basidiomycota; Agaricomycetes; Agaricales; Lyophyllaceae. The record is from the annotation of a GenBank genome assembly.
UCUUUGCUAGUAUAUCGGUUAGUACACGCGCCUGUCAUCGCUAACAAGUGAUCCAUCCGCGCGAAAGCUGGGUUCGACUCCCAGGCAGAGAG